Lates calcarifer (barramundi perch) is the source of this 1091-nucleotide long non-coding RNA. RefSeq lists it as uncharacterized. The record is from RefSeq and is a predicted model, not a curated record. Lineage: Eukaryota; Metazoa; Chordata; Actinopteri; Centropomidae. The transcript is spliced from 4 exons.
AGGUCAGUUUACAGGCAGAUUGUGGAGGAGUUAACAGUUACAAUGCAGAACACCCCGUUUUCUUGUUUUUAAUGCUAAAACAGUUUGUGUGUGUUUAAGUUUGUGUCAAGAAAUAGAAAGUCUCCUGUUUAUCAGGAUCUUUUGGUGAAGAAACGCGACCCAGGGAAGAAAUUUACCUGCUCCGGGCGUGUUGCGACUUACCUAGCAGUGGACCGUUGGAGAAAAAAAUAAGCAAAUAUGUCUUCAAAUCAGCGACCAGUCGUGCCUCUAUAAGGACAACCUGUGAACGUGGUUUUCAGGCCUCGUUGGCGCAGUAGGCAGCGCGUCAGUCUCAUAAUCUGAAGGUCGUGAGUUCGAGCCUCACACGGGGCAUGUGUUUUGAUUUUCCGCAGUAUGUUUUGGGUCAGCUGUGAAGAGGCAUGAAAGGAGACAAUCUUCUGUAUGCUGGAUUAACUUCAUUUCCAAAUGCCAUCCACGUCCACAAAGCCUAUAAACUGGUGCCAGAGAAUCAGGCUUUCCUUAAGUCUCUACCACUGUGUCCUGAAGACGAGAGGCCCUCCUGGGCAGAUGCACAACUGGGUGGCUCAAGGAUAUGGAAACACACCCAACCCCCACCUCGACUCUGCCCUUUUCAAGUAGAGGCAGAGGGAUUUUCAGUGGCCACAAUGGACAGAACGCCCAAGUGAUGCCGGGAAAAUAAUGAAACCUUGCCUGAAAUAGAAAGGAAUCAAAUGACAUUGUGCAAGGGCAAAUUAUAGUAUUAACAAACAUUAUUAUGAAUGUUGGUUCCAGUUAGUAUAAAUAAGCAGCUGUUUGAUAACAAAUUAGCUCUAUUAAUUGAAAAGGUGAUAGUAUGUCAGUAUUGUGUUCACAAUUUAUCCACUCCGUAUGAACAGAAGUAAAAUAAUUUGACGUUUGUGGCAGCCUGGAUGGUUUAUGGUGACAUUUCUUCAUAUAAACAAAAUGUUUUCUUAUUGUUAGUGGCCAGUUGUUACACUGUAAUUGCUGUAAUAUCAUUACGUUGGUUAUUUACUUAAUUUGAUGCAGCAUUAAAUCACUUGAUCAACAGGAAAAUGUCCUGUGAUUAUAAA